Molecule: RNA transcript, 6278 nt
Organism: Ostrinia furnacalis (Asian corn borer)
Lineage: Eukaryota; Metazoa; Arthropoda; Insecta; Lepidoptera; Crambidae
Exons: 6
Source: RefSeq, a predicted model, not a curated record
AGUUUCCAAGUUGGUGAUGUGCAAAAUAAGAAACUUCGUAGUAAAGUCCACCACAGCAUCUAAUCUUUUGAAGCCUAAACCAUUUGUGCUUUAUUUCAGCCAUCAUAAUUAACGGAAAAGAGUUCAUCAAGUAUUACCAACACGUGUACUCCAAACACUGUUAUACGCUGAAGGGAGAGAGAUGGCGGUGUUCCAAGCGUUGCAGCACCGGUUGCAAAGCGUUCUUGAUAUUAGGGCUGGGCACACGCGGCUUAAGACCAGUUAUCAAAGCUGCUGGGGAUCACAACCACAUGCCACCACAGUACCAACAAUGUCCAGAUGGUUCUUACAUUAAGAUUAGUGGCUAGUUCAUCAACAGACGUAAAUCCAUUACAAGUUAUAUUUUUUCAAAAUUUUCUUGUAAAAAGUUAAAUUCGUUAAUGGAACGUUGCUGCUUUUGUAAAAUUUGCUUAUAAAAAUGAUUAUUUGUGAAUCAAUACUAAUGCCCGUUUUCACCAUCAAUCCCUAAUUUAUGUGACCCCUGUAGUUGGUAACACUAUAACAGGAGUUUGUUUUCGAAGGGAUCACUUAAAAAUUAAGGAUUGAUGGUGAAAUCGGGCAUAAGUCCCUCGAGGAAGUAAAAUCAAUCGGUUUGUUGGAGAACGAAAAAUGUUGAAGUUUUUUUUUUAUAUUUUUUGCUUCAGUGAUAACACAUGGCGGCAAACAGCUCAUGAUGUAUUGUCAGCAUGUCUACGCCAAAGAUGUCUUAUAAAAAUUGGUCAGAAGUGGCGGUGCUCACGACGCCUCAGCGCCGGUUGCAAAGCAUAUAAUAUGGUCUUAGGGCCUGAAGUACCUGGAAGCAAAUUCAGAAGCGUUUUAAAAGUUUGCAAUGAACAUACCCACGGGCCGUCAAAGUUUUACCAGCUAAAAGAUGGCACUUACGUUAAAAUGUGACUGCUGUAAUACGAUUAAAUGUAAUAACAAAAUGUUAGUUCCAUCAAAGUACCAACGAUUUCCAGAACUAACUUAGCACUCUUUGAGAAUUUACUGUUUUUUACUAUCCGUCGAGUUUUGGUGAACAUGGGCUUUGAACAUAAUUUUUCCACCAGCAGGUUGGUAGAGACUAGUGUGUUUGCCAAUAAAGUUGUUUUAUUUGCAACGACAAUUUAAUUCUAAGUAUUAAUUGAAAAAAUAAUAAUAAACCCCCAGUUCAUCACAAUCGGUUUGGUGAAAGAGGGAAAAAUUGAAUUUUUUAUAUUUCUGCUUCAGUGGUAAUAUGUGGCAGCAAACAGCUCAUGAUGUAUUCUCAGCAUGUCUACGCCAAAGAUGUCUUUACAAAAAUUGGUCAAAGGUGGCGGUGCUCACGACGUUACGUCGGUUGCAAAGCAUACAUGGUCUUAGGGCCUGAAGUAUCUGGUAGCAAGUUCAGAAGCGUUGUAAAAGUUUGCAAUGAACAUAAUCACAAGCCGCCACAGUUCCACCAGCUAAAUGAUGGCACUUACGUUAAGAUUUGACUGCUGUAAUUAUUAUGUAACGUUUGUUAAAUAUUUUUUUUUGCUAAUUCCAUCAAACAACAAUUUACAGAUUCCAUACCAUUUGUAUUUUUUCCAAGAAAAUAUGUGAACUAACUGAGCACUCUUUGAGAAAUUACUGUUUUAAAAACUUUCUGUUGAGUUUUGGUGUACUUGGACUUUGAAAAUAAUUUUGCCACCGGCAAUUUUGCUACUGUAAAUAGUUUGUCAAUAAAGCUGUUUUAUUUGCAAAGACAAUUUAAUUCUAAGUCCCGGUAUUUAAUUGAUAAAAAAUAAUAAAACCCCAGUUCAUCACAAUCAGUUUGUUGAAAAAGGGAAAAAUUGAAGUUUUUUAUUUCUGCUUCAGUGGUAAUAUGUGGCAACAAAAAGCAAAUGAUGUAUCAGCAGCACGUCUACGUCAAAGAUGCCUUUAUAAAAAUUGGUCAGAAGUGGCGGUGCUCACGACGUCAAAGCGCCGGUUGCAAAGCAUAUAUGGUCUUAGGGCCUGAAGUACCUGGUAGCAAGUUCAGAAGCGUUGUAAAAGUUUACAAAGAACAUACCCACGGGCCGUCACAGUUUUACCAGCUAAAAGAUGGCACUUACGUUAAGAUGCGACUGCUGUAAUGCGAUUAAAUGUAAUUACAAAAUGUUAGUUCCAUCAAAGUACCAACAAUUUCCAGAACUAACUGAGCACUCUUUGAGAAUUUACUGUUUUUUUGUUAGGUUUGAUAAACAUAUAAGCUUUGAACAUAAUUUUGCCACCAGCAGGUUGCUACUGAGACUAAUGUGUUUGCCAAUAAAGUUGAUUUAUUUGCUACGAGAAUUUUAUUCGAAGUCCCGGUAUUAAUUUAAAAAAAUAAUAAACCCCCAGUUCAUCACAAUCGGUUUGGUGAAAGAGGGGAAAAAUUUAAGUUUUUAUAUUUUUGCUUCAGUGAUAAUAUGUGGCAGCAAACAGCUCAUGAUGUAUUGUCAGCAUGUCUACGCCAAAGAUGUCUUUACAAAAAUUGGCCAAAGGUGGCGGUGCUCACGACGUUUCAGCGCCGGUUGCAAUGCUAGUAUGAUCUUGGGACCUGAAGUACCUGGUAGCAAGUUCAGAAGCGUUAUCAAGGUUCUCCAUGAACAUAACCACGGGCCGUCACAGUUCCACCAGCUAAAAGAUGGCACUUACGUUAAGAUUUGACUGCUGUAAUGCGAUUAAAUUAAUAUAAUAACAAAAUUUUAGUUCUAUUAAAGUACCAGUUUCCAGAACUAACUAACUCUUUGAGAAAUUACUGUUUUUUUUAAUUAUCUGUUGAGUUUUGGUGUACUUGGACUUUGAACAUAAUUUGCCACCGGCAAUUUUGCUAAGUAAAUAUUUUGUCAAUAAAGCUGUUUUAUUUGUAAUUCUAAGUCCCGGUAUUAAUUCAAAAUAUUAAUAAACCCCCACUUCAUCACGAUCGGUUAGUUGAAAGUGGGAAAAAAUCAAGAUUUUAUAUUUCUGCUUCAGUGGUAAUAUGUGGCAACAAAAAGCAAAUGAUGUAUCAGCAGCACGUCUACGUCAAAGAUGCCUUUACAAAAAUUGGUCAAAGGUGGCGGUGCUCACGACGUUACAACGGUUGCAAAGCAUAUAUGGUCUUAGGGCCUGAAGUACCUGGAAGCAAGUUCAGAAGCGUUAUAAAAGUUUGCUAUGAACAUACCCACGGGCCUUCACAGUAUUACCAGCUAAAAGAUGGCACUUACGUUAAGAUGUGACUGCUGUUCUGCUUUUAAAUAUCAGAACAAAAUAUUAGUUCCAUCAAAGCACCAACAAUUUCCAGAACUAACUUAGCACUCUCAAAGAGUGCUAAGAAAUUACUGUCUUUUUUUAAAUUAUCUUUUGAGUUUUGGUGUACUUGGACUUUGAACAUAAUUUUGCCCCCAGCAGGUUGCUACUGUAAAUAGUUUGUCAAUAAAGCUGAUUUAUUUGCAAAGACAAUUUGAUUCUAAGUCCCGGUAUUUGAAAAAAAUAAUAAAACCCCAGUUCAUCACAAUCGGUUUGGUGAAAGAAGGAAAAAUUGAAGUUUUUUAUUUCUGCUUCAGUGGUAAUAUGUGGCAACAGAAAACAAAUGAUGUAUCAGCAGCACGUCUACGUCAAAGAUGCCUUUACAAAAAUUGGUCAAAGGUGGCGGUGCUCACGACGUUUCAGCGCCGCUUGCAAUGCUAGUAUGAUCUUGGGACCUGAAAUACCUGGUAGCAAGUUCAGAAGCGUUGUCAAAGUGCUCAGAGAACAUACCCACGGGCCGUCACAGUUCCGGCAGCUAAAUGAUGCUAGAUUCAUCAGGACACCAACCGCCACACUCUUGCUGUUUCGCGGUUACACCUAUGCAAAGAGGUGUUCGUCAAAGACCGGCGAAAGGUGGAACUGCACAAAACGCAUUUCGAAGCAGUGCAAAUCGUACGUGAGUUUAAAUUUGAAUAAAAUGAUCGUCAAUUUCGAAGAAGAUCAUAAUCAUGAACCACCACAAUACACUUGCGACCGUAAUGGGAUUUUUAUAAGAUUGAAUUAAAAAAGCCGUAAUUUCAAGACACCAUGCCGCUGAAAAGAAGGGUUUUCAUCUAUAAAAAGGGAGAUGUCACAAAAGCUAUAAAAGAAAUAAGCAAUGGUGGUAAAGUGAGAGAAACAUGUCGAAAGUAUAAUAUUCCCCGUGCAAGAGUUAUUAAUAAAUUGAAACAUAAGUACUCAUGGGAUAGAAAAAUGGAACCGCCUACUAUAUUGACCACACAAGAAGAAUCCACGCUUAAAUCCUGGAUAAUAGCGAUGGCAAAUAAAUGGUUUCCAGUCAAUAGAGAAAUGAUCCUUGACACUGUUAAAGAUAUUAUAAUUGAACAGAAACUGCCAAAUCCAUUCAAAGAUAAUGUACCUAGCAAAAAAUGGUUUGCAAGUUUUUUGAAAAGACACCCAGAUGUUUUUGCACGCCUUGUGGAAUAUAGGAAUAUUUCCGAAAGUCCAGUAACAGUAAGUGCUUUGAGAAUGUGGUACAAAAAUUUAAAAGAUUAUCUAAUCACUGAAGGCGUCGCCGAUAUUUUAGAAGAUCCGGAAAGAAUCUUUGGUGCAGAUGAAUGCUCAUUUCAAACAGGCUUUACUGGCUUAGUGCACGGUCCUCAAGGGUUAAACUAUGAUGAGACAAGCAACAAAGAUAAAGAAUCCCUAACUGUUGUUGGAACUAUCGCAGCAUCUGGGAGUAUAUUGCCACCUUUAAUUGUAUAUCCAUCAAGACUACCACCUCAGGUCUUUAGACUAGUCAAUGGAGAGUGGUGCGUCCGUCAGUCCGAUAAAGGAAAUCUGACAUCAAAAUGUGUCUUUGAUUACAUAUCAGAUACCCUUGUUCCAAAAUUGAAAGUUCAGUAUAUUCAAACGCACGUCGGCUCGAAGCUGCUCAUGGUGAAUAACUACUCGUACUGCCGAAAGCACACGUCGAAGAUCCGAGAGAAGUGGCAGUGCACCAAGAAGAUGUCCAAGGAAUGCCAGGCUUACGUCAUAUUGGACCUAGUCAAUUCGGGCAUGACGCUAAAUGGGCAGCACAACCACGAACCAACCCAGUACCACCGCAACAGUCAAGGGUUGUACAUUAAGAUUGGUUGACUCAUUGAAUCUUGGGUAAGGGAAAUUAGAAAUAGCUUGGUAUUCAGUUCGGUGAUUUGAGACACCCCGCACAUUACAGACUUUCUGUCGACAUUAUACCGAUUUAGUAUCGGCCGAUUCCUCAAAUAUGAAGCAGACCAAAGUAUUGACCGAAUAAAAUUCAUAGUCUGCGGGGAUUCUGAAAAUGUACUUUGGACAGUUUUUCCGAUUGAUAAAGUUUCUGUAGUUAUCUGUCAUAAUUAUUACGCUGUCUAAUAUUGCUCAAUAGAUACCGUCGAUUUUAUGUGCUCGAUUACCUAUACAUCGAAAUCGAAUCGAAAUCUGAAAUUGUAAUUCAAGACAUAAAACUAUCAGAAACUAUCAACACGUGGUGAUUUUGAAGAUCAACACGUGAAAAUAAAUGAUAAAGUAGAACAAACGCUGGCACAUCAAGGUAAUCACUGUGACAUCUAAAGUCAAUAUUGUAACAGGUGCUAUUUUGCAACAAAAUUGUAUUUUCUGAUUAUGUUCUAGUAUGCUCGGACUAGUAGUCUCUAGUACUCUAGUAUGAUGGACAUUUAUAAUUUAUACUUGCUGUGAUUGUCCGGGUGCACGGAAAUUUUCCUUAGUUGUUUUAGGCAAGUUUAAAAAGUGCAGUUCAUAACGUCCAGGUGUGGGAAGCCUUUGGUCAUGUUGAACAACUAUACUUACCGGCGACACUGCUCUCUGAAGUCUGGCGAGCGGCUGCAGUGCUGCAUGAGUGUCAGCAGGCGGUGUCACGCGUACCUCAUAGUGGACCUCAACGGUGUCGUGGUCAAAAGGAACGAAGUGCACACCCAUCCUCCGACGGCGUACGCUAGGAACGCGUCGGGCGCUUACUUUAGGAUUUAAGUUGAAUAAGGGCCAGUUUUAUGAGCUGCACUAACUGUAAAAUUUUAUUUGUUUUAAACUUUCAUGGUCAUGGUCAUGGUCACAAACAUAAUAAUUAUUAUUGACGGGAUAGAGGGUAGACCGAUAUGUCUGGUAUGUCUGCCCAUGACAUCUCACCCGCUAGUGCCUCAGUUACUCCGUGAUCAUGGCGCUUGUAACAGUGCCGAAACAGACUCGAAAUUAAGGUACAUGGUAGCAGUCCCGUCAAUAAUAAUUGAUCUGUUAGAUUUUCAUGAAUCGUUAUGGUUAAAUAUCAGCUAUUAUUAAUAUAAAUAUAA